RNAcentral lists this ribosomal RNA (468 nucleotides) under uncultured bacterium. RNAcentral's name for it is "partial 16S ribosomal RNA". It matches the Rfam family "Bacterial small subunit ribosomal RNA", at positions 28 to 507 of the family's 1533-position model. The record is from RNAcentral.
GACGAACGCUGGCGGCGUGCUUAACACAUGCAAGUCGAACGGAAAGGCCCGGCUUUUGUGGGGUGCUCGAGUGGCGAACGGGUGAGUAACACGUGAGUAACCUGCCCUUGACUUUGGGAUAACUUCAGGAAACUGGGGCUAAUACCGGAUAGGAGCUCCUGCUGCAUGGUGGGGGUUGGAAAGUUUCGGCGGUUGGGGAUGGACUCGCGGCUUAUCAGCUUGUUGGUGGGGUAGUGGCUUACCAAGGCUUUGAUGGGUAGCCGGCCUGAGAGGGUGACCGGCCACAUUGGGACUGAGAUACGGCCCAGACUCCUACGGGAGGCAGCAGUGGGGAAUAUUGCACAAUGGGCGGAAGCCUGAUGCAGCAACGCCGCGUGCGGGAUGACGGCCUUCGGGUUGUAAACCGCUUUCGCCUGUGACGAAGCGUGAGUGACGGUAAUGGGUAAAGAAGCACCGGCUAACUACGUG